UAUUUCGCAUUACGCAGAAAA
Molecule: non-coding RNA, 21 nt
Organism: Caenorhabditis elegans
Lineage: Eukaryota; Metazoa; Nematoda; Chromadorea; Rhabditida; Rhabditidae
Source: Ensembl